UGAAUUUCAGAUCAGCCUAGGCUUGAAUGAAACCCACCCUCAAAAAAACAACAACAAGAGGCUACUCCCAUGCUUUAGAAAUAUCUGUAUUUACCAGAGAACACUUGGAAAUGAUGGUGUAUUCAGAUGUCACACAAAUGAAUGCACAUGUUCUAUGGCUGGAUUCUAGAAAGGCAGAGUCAAGAGCAUAGCUGGCUCUCUUCCCAACAACCUUCAUCAGUACAGAUAGAUGCAGAUGCUAAGGAAAGAACCACCCCAUCAUACCUCAAAAGGGC
Long non-coding RNA from Jaculus jaculus (lesser Egyptian jerboa), 275 nucleotides. RefSeq lists it as uncharacterized. The record is from RefSeq and is a predicted model, not a curated record. NCBI's taxonomy places the organism in Eukaryota, Metazoa, Chordata, Mammalia, Rodentia, Dipodidae. The transcript has 3 exons.